RNAcentral lists this unclassified non-coding RNA (375 nucleotides) under uncultured Actinomycetes bacterium. RNAcentral describes it as "uncultured actinobacterium contains 16S-23S intergenic spacer region". The record is from RNAcentral. Lineage: Bacteria; Bacillati; Actinomycetota; Actinomycetes.
UCCGGUUUGUCACCGGCGGUCUCGCAUGAGUCCCCAACUAAAUGCUGGCAACAUGAGACAAGGGUUGCGCUCGUUGCGGGACUUAACCCAACAUCUCACGACACGAGCUGACGACAGCCAUGCACCACCUGCACACAGGCCACAAGGGAACCAAUAUCUCUACUGGCGUCCUGUGCAUGUCAAACCCAGGUAAGGUUCUUCGCGUUGCAUCGAAUUAAUCCACAUGCUCCGCCGCUUGUGCGGGCCCCCGCCAAUUUCUUUGAGUUUUAGCCUUGCGGCCGUACUCCCCAGGCGGAACACUUAACGCGUUGGCUUCGGCACAGAGGGAUUCGACUCCCCCCACACCUAGUGUUCAUCGUUUACGGCUAGGACUAC